RNAcentral lists this ribosomal RNA (274 nucleotides) under uncultured bacterium. Its description in RNAcentral is "partial 16S ribosomal RNA". It matches the Rfam family "Bacterial small subunit ribosomal RNA", at positions 523 to 796 of the family's 1533-position model. The record is from RNAcentral.
AUACGAAGGGUGCUAGCGUUGUUCGGAAUUACUGGGCGUAAAGAGCAUGUAGGCGGAUUGAUUAGUCAGAGGUGAAAGCCCCGAGCUCAACUUGGGAAUUGCCUUUGAUACUGUCAAUCUAGAGACCGAGAGAGGUGAGUGGAAUUCCCAGUGUAGAGGUGAAAUUCGUAGAUAUUGGGAAGAACACCAGUGGCGAAGGCGGCUCACUGGCUCGGUACUGACGCUGAGAUGCGAAAGCGUGGGGAGCAAACAGGAUUAGAUACCCCAGUAGUCC